Molecule: long non-coding RNA, 1221 nt
Filed under: Equus caballus (horse)
Lineage: Eukaryota; Metazoa; Chordata; Mammalia; Perissodactyla; Equidae
Description: lncRNA (ENSECAG00000050734.1)
Source: RNAcentral
CGGGGGGAAAAUGCAUUUGGUUUGGUUCAGGGCAAAGCAAGGUAGAUGUAGAUUCUGUCACCUUAGCUAAGCUGGAACAACACGUCCCAGAAUUCCUUUUCCUGCAGAGUUCUGGGUUAGCAGAGGCCAAAAGAAAUCUUUUGUGUGAGGCCUGGAAGGCGGAAGUGAAGCAGCAGCGUGUUCUUUUUACGUUGGAAGGCAGUGGCUCAGGUGUGUCGUCACAGAUCUGCUGGCUCCCCUCGCAGGUGCGAGCCUGCUGGGUCUCCUCUUUUGUCUUCUCCAACUCUCGGGCCAGGUGUGAGCUUAGCUUUGUAAGUAAGGGAGCCAGCUUGUCCCGCUAGACAUACCCAACAUCAAGGUCGGGGCUGGGGGAGGUGAGAGCCCACAUGGAUUCUAGUCCAUCCUUUUCAGUUCCACUCCUCCUUGCAGGUUCCAAUUUGUCCUACUUCACAUCCUUCUUCCCUCUUCAGACCGUCUGCCCUAGGAGCUUCAGGCUGUAGCUCCAGGCACAGGAGAAACAGCAUCCUGCAGAGUACUAAACCAGCUGCCACAUCCGUGCAGGGUCAAAUCCCUACAAUAAAGGUGUCGUGUUGUAGAAAGAAGUCUUCUCAACGGAGGGUGGAGAGGCUGGAGCACCCCUUGGAGGAGCUGGAACAGGCUGUGUGUUGCUGUGAUGCUGAAAGCUGUGCCACCGGGAUCUCAAAUGGCAGCAGGGUCGCCCAUGGUGGACAGGUUUCAGAGGACUUUCCAGACUAAGACAGACAAGGAAGAAGGACCUGGCCACCCACUUCCGAAAAAACUGGCCAUGAAGACCCUGUGAAUAACAGUGGAGCUUGUCUGCUACAGAGCCGGAAGUUAUGUGCUCGAGACUCAGAUAGGAUCUGAUUCAUCAGAGGAUACCGGACCUCUCACCCAGGACCCCAAGUGUGCACCGUUGAAGCCCUUGUCUUCACCUCCGACUGCCUGAUCGGGGAUCUGUUGCUGUAGGCCAGAAUCCUUCAUGGUGGUAUUGCUUAAACAACUUCGAGCCCAGACCACUCGACUGAGUAAGGAUUUCCAGAAUUAAUGGAGAAGCUGAUGGGUUCAUAAAACUGCUAACCCAAGGUCAAGCAGAACAAGAAUUAAUUAAAUGGGACUGAAUGAACUGAUGAAGAGUGAUUAUGGUUUUAAUCUGGAACAUUCCUGGUUCUUUAAUGUUCUAUUUUUCAGAUAUAAGGAACC